AUUGAACGCUGGCGGCAUGCCUUACACAUGCAAGUCGAACGGCAGCACGGGUGCUUGCACCUGGUGGCGAGUGGCGAACGGGUGAGUAAUACAUCGGAACGUACCUUAUCGUGGGGGAUAACGCAGCGAAAGCUGUGCUAAUACCGCAUACGCCCUGAGGGGGAAAGCGGGGGAUCGCAAGACCUCGCGCGAUUAGAGCGGCCGAUGCCUGAUUAGCUUGUUGGUGGGGUAAAAGCCCACCAAGGCGACGAUCAGUAGCUGGUCUGAGAGGACGAUCAGCCACACGGGGACGGAGACACGGCCCAGACUCCUACGGGAGGCAGCAGUGGGGAAUUUUGGGCAAUGGAGGCAACCCUGAUCCAGCAAUGCCGCGUGAGUGAAGAAGGCCUUCGGGUUGUAAAGCUCUUUUGUCAGGGAAGAAACACCGGCUCUAACACAGUCCGGGAAUGACGGUACCUGAAGAAUAAGCACCGGCUAACUACGUGCCAGCCGCCGCGGUAA
This 501-nucleotide ribosomal RNA is filed under the name uncultured bacterium. Its description in RNAcentral is "partial 16S ribosomal RNA". It matches the Rfam family "Bacterial small subunit ribosomal RNA", at positions 29 to 523 of the family's 1533-position model. The record is from RNAcentral.